Molecule: ribosomal RNA, 804 nt
Filed under: uncultured Bacteroidota bacterium
Lineage: Bacteria; Pseudomonadati; Bacteroidota
Description: bacterial SSU rRNA
Rfam family: Bacterial small subunit ribosomal RNA
Source: RNAcentral
AGGAGAGUUUGAUCCUGGCUCAGGAUGAACGCUAGCUACAGGCUUAACACAUGCAAGUCGAGGGGCAGCAGGGGACUAGCUUGCUAGUUUCGCUGGCGACCGGCGCACGGGUGCGUAACACGUAUCCAAUCUACCCAUGGCUCAGGGAUAGCCUUUCGAAAGAAAGAUUAAUACCUGAUGGUCUGUCAGUGGGACAUCCCACGGGCAGUAAAGAUUUAUCGGCGAUGGAUGAGGAUGCGUCCGAUUAGGUAGUAGGCGGGGCAACGGCCCACCUAGCCGACGAUCGGUAGGGGUUCUGAGAGGAAGGUCCCCCACACUGGAACUGAGACACGGUCCAGACUCCUACGGGAGGCAGCAGUGAGGAAUAUUGGUCAAUGGUCGGAGGACUGAACCAGCCAAGUAGCGUGAGGGAGGACGGCCCUACGGGUUGUAAACCUCUUUUGUAUGGGAAUAAAGCGUCCCACGCGUGGGACUUUGUAUGUACCUUACGAAUAAGCAUCGGCUAAUUCCGUGCCAGCAGCCGCGGUAAUACGGAAGAUGCGAGCGUUAUCCGGAUUUAUUGGGUUUAAAGGGAGCGUAGGCGGGCUUUUAAGUCAGCGGUUAAAUGUCAGUGCCCAACAUUGGCAUGCCGUUGAAACUGGAGGCCUUGAAUACACACAAGGAAGGCGGAAUUCGUCGUGUAGCGGUGAAAUGCUUAGAUAUGACGAAGAACUCCGAUUGCGAAGGCAGCCUUCUGGGGUGCGAUUGACGCUGAGGCUCGAAAGUGCGGGGAUCAAACAGGAUUAGAUACCCUGGUAGUCCCCU